This 422-nucleotide ribosomal RNA is filed under the name uncultured bacterium. RNAcentral describes it as "bacterial SSU rRNA". It matches the Rfam family "Bacterial small subunit ribosomal RNA", at positions 958 to 1398 of the family's 1533-position model. The record is from RNAcentral.
AACGCGAAGAACCUUACCCAGGUUUGACAUGCACUCGUAAACCGUAGAAAUACGGUCCCCGCAAGGCGGGUGCACAGGUGGUGCAUGGCUGUCGUCAGCUCGUGCCGUGAGGUGUUGGGUUAAGUCCCGCAACGAGCGCAACCCCCGUGGCUAGUUGCAUUGUUCUAGUCAUACUGCUGGGAGAAACCCAGAGGAAGGCGGGGAUGAGGUCAAGUCAUCAUGCCCUUUAUGCCUGGGGCUACACACACGCUACAAUGCCCGGUACAACGGGCUGCAACACCGCGAGGUGAAGCUAAUCCCUUAAAGCCGGGCUCAGUUCGGAUUGCAGGCUGCAACUCGCCUGCAUGAAGUCGGAGUUGCUAGUAACUGCAGGUCAGCACACUGCAGUGAAUAUGUUCCCGGGCCUUGUACACACCGCUGUA